Molecule: ribosomal RNA, 427 nt
Filed under: uncultured bacterium
Lineage: Bacteria
Description: partial 16S ribosomal RNA
Rfam family: Bacterial small subunit ribosomal RNA
Source: RNAcentral
UGGGGAAUAUUGCACAAUGGGCGCAAGCCUGAUGCAGCCAUGCCGCGUGUAUGAAGAAGGCCUUCGGGUUGUAAAGUACUUUCAGCGGGGAGGAAGGUGUUGAGGCUAAUAACCUCAGCAAUUGACGUUACCCGCAGAAGAAGCACCGGCUAACUCCGUGCCAGCAGCCGCGGUAAUACGGAGGGUGCAAGCGUUAAUCGGAAUUACUGGGCGUAAAGCGCACGCAGGCGGUCGGUCAAGUCGGAUGUGAAAUCCCCGGGCUCAACCUGGAAACUGCAUUCGAAACUGGCAGGCUAGAGUCUUGUAGAGGGGGGUAGAAUUCCAGGUGUAGCGGUGAAAUGCGUAGAGAUCUGGAGGAAUACCGGUGGCGAAGGCGGCCCCCUGGACAAAGACUGACGCUCAGGUGCGAAAGCGUGGGGAGCAAACA